GCCAUCCUUUUCUUGGGGUAGCGCUACUGUCCAAUGAACGGGUAGUGAGGACAGUACUGCUAACACCUACACAACACACCCGCAUCAACUAGAGCAAUAAAAGCUUUGCUUUACUUUGGUGCAAUUUUUGGAAAA
Small nuclear RNA from Prolemur simus (greater bamboo lemur), 135 nucleotides. The record is from Ensembl. NCBI's taxonomy places the organism in Eukaryota, Metazoa, Chordata, Mammalia, Primates, Lemuridae.